Molecule: long non-coding RNA, 743 nt
Filed under: Dromaius novaehollandiae (emu)
Lineage: Eukaryota; Metazoa; Chordata; Aves; Casuariiformes; Dromaiidae
Description: lncRNA (ENSDNVG00000014410.1)
Source: RNAcentral
AUAACUACAGCUCUGGGGAAGUCUGGAUAUAGAAGAGUGCCCAUUGGAAUAUUAAUUAAGGUUUUAAAGUCCUGCCAUUAAUAAUGAGAACACUGAUGUUGGGCAGCAUUAGUUCAACUGUUUCUUACUCUACAGAUGAGGACAUCUAGCUCUGGAAAAGGCAGGCAAGAAAGGAGGGAAGGCUCUUAACCCUAGCAGAUGGUUGACCUGCGCUGCCUCACGUGUGGGUAUGUCCUCAUGACAUUGGACUGUCACAUCAGACUGGAGAUUCGGCUGUGAUGAGAAGAGCCUUAAAGCAAGCAGCUGCAUCUCAGACGAGACCUUCACAACCACUGUGCAGAAGUCUUUGACCUCAGUAGAGCAGCAUGCAGUACUCUUCCGUAAUGAGGUGUAUGUUCUGCGGUGUGUAAUAGAGACAUUUUCUCUGCUGAGAAGACUGCUACACAAAUCAGGAAAAAGGAAAUUCAAAAGGACUCACUUCCUUUGCUCCUUUGUUACCCCAACCCUACAUUCCUCUAGGUAACCAUGCUGAGCCCAAAAAAGAAGACAUCUAUGAGUGAAAAAUAGAAUCGGAGAAAAAGCAGUAUGUCAUCUCUGUGCCUGUUAAAUUAAAUAUAAGCAAAUGAUGAACAAAAAUUGUGAUUCAUUAUGCAUGCUAUGACAAAAAGAAUAAUUUAUAAAUUCCAAUUAAUCUGUUAUUUCUUCUGUAAUAAUAAAAUGAAUCAUCGGCUUUUAAUUUUCCA